CCUUCGAUUGCCAGUACUACUCUCUCGUAUCUGCCGGUCGUUCCUUGAUCCAGAGUCUUUCACUUCCUUCGCGGGACACUUGGUUCCGCAGAAAACAAAGUGGAUGCAAUCGCAGGAGACGUUGAAGGAGAAUGCCUUGGUUGUGAUAAAGGACAAGUCCAGUCAACCAAUCAUAUGAUUGCUGGGGCGAAUUCUUCGAGUGCUUCCGGUUGAAGAUGGAGUUGCAAGGGUGGCAAACAUUCGCACCAGGAAGGGCGUAAUCAGAUGGGCCUUCAACAUGAUGUCCCCUGCCGACUGUAAAUAUUGAAGAAGACUCUUCAACGCGGGGAGUAUGUUUGAGUACGUGCGCGCCUGACGAGUACGGGCGACGCGAAGGGGUAGGGAGCGCCGGCGCCGGUGCGAGCGCAGCGGCGACAAAUUAAAUUGUCAUCCACGACGCCGAGCCAUCAACACUAUUAUUUUUUUUAUUCGCGACGCCAAGCCGUCCAAGUUUUAUAUAUUUUUUAUAAUUUAAACAACAAUAUACGAUUGAAGAAAUACA
Molecule: long non-coding RNA, 541 nt
Organism: Melitaea cinxia (Glanville fritillary)
Lineage: Eukaryota; Metazoa; Arthropoda; Insecta; Lepidoptera; Nymphalidae
Exons: 2
Source: RefSeq, a predicted model, not a curated record